UCUCUCACACUGCUAAUGGUAAUUAAAAAAACAAGCAUUCAUGCUGGCAAUGAGCCUUCCAUUUCUCUCACACUGCUAAUGGUAAUUAAAAAAAAACAAACAUUUGUGCUGGCAAUGAGCCUUUGAUUUAAUUUACACUGCUAAUGGUAAUUAAAAAAACAAGCAUUCAUGCUGGCAAUGAGCCUUUGAUUUAUUAUACACUGCUAAUGGUAAUUAAAAAAACAAGCAUGUGUGCUGGCAAUGAGCCUGUGAUUUAUCAUACACUGCUAAUGGUAAUUAUAAAAAUCCACAGCAUUCGUACUGGCAAUGAGCCUUUGAUUUAUUAUACACUGCUAAUGGUAAUUAAAAAAACAAGCAUGUGUGCUGGCAAUGAGCCUGUGAUUUAUCACACACUGCUAAUGGUAAUUAUAAAAAUCCACAGCAUUCGUACUGGCAAUGAGCCUUUGAUUUAUCUCGCACUGCUAAUGGUAAUUAAAAAACAAGCAUUCGUGCUGGGAAUGAGCCUUUGAUUUAUCUCGCACUGCUAAUGGCCUCCGGGCUCUACUACACUUUAAAAAGAGAUGCCUUCAGGCUCUGGGCUCUCCUCAAGCCUAAAAAAGGUUGCUUUUGGCCUUCGGGUUCUCCUCCACCCUAAAAUGGGUUGCCUCCGGCCUCCGGGCUCUCCUCCACCUUUAAAAGGUUUGCCUCCGGCCUCUGGGCUCUCCUCCACCCUGAAAAGGGUUGCCUCCAGCCUCCGGGCUCUCCUCCACCCUAAAGAAGGGUUGCCUCCGGCCUCUGGGCUUUCCUCCACCCUAAAAAAGGGUUGCCUCCGGGCUCUGGGCUCUCCUCCACCCUUAAAAAGGGUUGCCUCCGGCCUCCGGGCUCUCCUUCACCCUAAAAAAGGGUUGCCUCCGGGCUCUGGGCUCUCCUCCACCCUAAAAUGGGUUGCCUCCGGCCUCCGGGCUCUCCUCCACCUUUAAAAGGGUUGCCUCCGGCCUCUGGGCUCUCCUCCACCCUGAAAAGGGUUGCCUCCAGCCUCUGGGCUCUCCUCCACCCUGAAAAGGGUUGCCUCCAGCCUCCGGGCUCUCCUCCACCCUAAAAAAGGGUUGCCUCCGGGCUCUCCUCCACCCUAAAAAAGGGUUGCCUCCGGCCUCUGGGCUUUCCUCCACCCUAAAAAAGGGUUGCCUCCGGGCUCUGGGCUCUCCUCCACCCUAAAAAAGGGUUGCCUCCGGCCUCCGGGCUCUCCUUCACCCUAAAAAAGGGUUGCCUCCAGGCUCUGGGCUCUCCUCCACCCUAAAAAGGGUUGCCUCCGGGCUCUGGGCUCUCCUCCACCCUAAAAAGGGUUGCCUCCGGCCUCCGGGCUCUCCUCCACACUAAAAAGGGUUGCCUCCGGCCUCUGGGCUCUCCUCCACCCUAAAAAGGGUUGCCUCCGGCCUCUGGGCUCUCCUCCACCCUAUGAAGGGUUUCUUCCAGCCUCCGGGCUCUACUGCGCUCUAAAAAGGGUUGCCUCCGGGCUCUCCUUCACCAUAAAACGGGUUGCCUCUGGCCUGCAAAAAAGAAAGUACCUCAAUAUAAAGUUAAACUGAAUUCAAAUAAAAAACAAAGACUUAAACCUUUCAAGGUUCCAAAAAUGUGUUUAAUAUCAAUGAAAAAAGCUCUUUCCUGUUACCAAAAAAUCAAUACAAAACAUAGAAUAUGUUCAACACAAUCAUAGAAACAAUCAAAGGGAUAGCAAUGUUCUUCCAAGGGAAACCAACAACUGAACAACAAAAUUCAAAGUGCUCCGAUAGCAAUUACGUGGGUAAAAUACUUUUCAGGAAACAAUGAAACAACAGCAAAAAAACACUCUCAAAGAGCUUUCAAGGAAACUUGGACCAACUAUGGAACAACAUCAACAAAAAAACAAUAUUCUCAAAGAGCUUUCAAGGAAACUUGGACCAACUAUGGAACAAUGCUCUCAGGAAAAUGUCACAUCAUUAGCAGGCUUUUCAAGGAAACUAUAGAACAGAAAACAUUCACAAGGUGCUCUGGAAGGAACUACAGCCCAACACUGAGGAAGAAUUGUGACAACCAGCGAGGCAUCAGACCUUGUCCCAGUAGGUCGUCUUGGUCUACAAUAAGACCCAGAAGCCAUGGCGUACACUGAUAACCUGUCUUGUUUGUGUGUGUGCUGUACUGGUUGUGUUUGCAGUCCUUUGUGUAUUUGUAGAUCUCUGCUGGUCUUAAGAAGUUGCCAAAAUGCCCAGUGCUGCAGAAUUGGGCAUUUUGGCAGAAAUUUCAGGGACGCGCUGCUGCUGUUUUACAUCAUGGGGUCUACAAGGAGGCGGUCUUUGGUUCCUCCGUCCAUGUGAGAAGUUGAGCCAGGCAUCCUCGUGCUGGGGACCAUAGCCAAAGUGUUCAUCCUAUAAGAAGACCCCGAUGCCCUCCAUCUCCGAUGGGAUGCUGAACCAGGAUUCAGACUGAGUCGUCAACUAACCACCGGAUACCUGAAGCCAUUGGAGGCCAGAGCUGCUCUAACGUACAUCCAACAGAAACAAGUGUUUGCAGGUCCUGCCAGUAUCAGCCCUGACUCCUGGGGGACUGUGCAAACUGCAAGAGGCUUCUGGUCAUCUUCAACCUGAGCCCGAGUCUGGAGAGGAUCCCAACUUUGUGGAAGACUUCCUGCAUGGUUCCAGUCCUGAAGACGUUGCACCUCAGGGAGCUGAACCACUCAAGACCCAUGCAUGCCUGUGGAGUACAGGCAGAUCAUUUUUGGUAGAGACUGGACAUUAAGAGGGUGAUGUACAAUACCUGGGUGUUGGACUGGUCACACCUGCACCUGCUGAGGGGACAGAGGCCCUUCGGAGCGUGCAGGACUAUUGUUACGGACAUUUUACGAUAGUGUGAUGGCGUCUGCUCUCCUUUAUGCUGUGGUUGGCUGUGGAGGAGGGAGCACAGAAAAAGACUGAACUGGUCAAGAGGGGUAGGUCUGUCUUGGACUGUUCCCUGGACUCUGAGGAGGAUGCUGGCCAAGCUGGCAUCUUCUGCAUAACACUGUUGGGGCCUGAGCAGCCCCUUCAGCCAAAGACUGUUACACCGUCCCUUUAAGGAGUGCAAGAUAAUUCAAGCCAGGGACGGGCAACUUUGGUUACCAAGGGAACCACAUAAAUUCUGUUUUUCCUUCCUGAGGGUAACGUUGUUUUGAAAAGUCAGACAGGACUGUUGUAAUAACUUAUAACCAGGGAUUAUGAGAUUAAUUAUGGUUAAUUUGAUGCAUAAUUAGUGCAUUAUUAUUUUAAUCCAGAGUAAUCUCAUACUCGUCUCUUUCAACACACUUUGGUUCAGCCGCUUCAACGUCUCCCUAGAGCCACAGUUCUGAAAAUCAGUCGAUCACUGAUCCUCAUUUUUUUACUUCCUUUUAAAAACUCAGACAGCUCAGUGGACAAGUCAAAAGUCAUCUGCACCUUACGUUAUCAAAUGUUUACCUUCACCUGGAAUUUAAGUUGUGAUUAAUGUGAUUAAACAUGAUGUGAUCAAUUACAUUUAACUGCAGGGAUUCUAAGAUUAAUCCUGAUUAAAAAUGUUGAUCAUUUGACAGCCCUACUUACAAAUAUAUUUCAUCAAAUUUAAUGAACCAGCGUUUGUUUUGAAAGCUCGAAAGCAAACAGAAAAUCUUAAUGAGUUAACAUGAAAUAAAACAGGAUUUCAGCGUCUUCUUAAAUGGCAUGAUCUGUUUUUUUUUUUUUUGGCCAAAGUUUCUUUGACUUGUCUCUUUUCUCCCAAAUGCAUCUAGUAAUGCUUCUUUGAAGGGUUUUACUGAAACAAAUACAGUCGGUUCCCUUCAUUAAUGUCCUACAAAGAACAAAACAUGCACUAGAAAUCCUUUUUUACAAGAUUCUGUUUAAAUAUUUCUGUUGCAUAUUUUUCUAAACUGUGCAUGCUGUUGUGCAGGUGGAUUUAUUUCUUGGCUGAUGAUCUCAUGUUUACAGUUAGUUGACAGUAGAAAUUUUCUCCAAGUUCUCUUCUAUUUUAACUCAUAUACAGUAGAUGUAAGAGCUUACAUAAAUGUGAUUAUGCUUUUGUCUGUACAAAUAUGUAUGUGAACACAGUCCCACGGAUGUUACAGCCAGCUAUCCAAACGUCUUUGCUCAUCAGCAUCUUCAAUUAUUGAUAAUACUACUACAGUUUGAGAUGUGUAAUGUUACCUGGAUAUUUUUCCCCUCAUUUAAAUCACUACCAUUCACACUGUUUUCUUCAGAUCUGGUCUUGAUCCUUCCACAAGUCAAAGUGUGCAUGUGUACAUUUGUAAAUAAGACUAUUAUAUCACUUUUUGUCAUAUGGUAUUGAAGUAUUGUUGGCACUUUUUCCCCUUACUUUGGGUUUUUUGUAUUAAUGUCUUGAUUAAAGAGUGCAAGAGUUACAAACAAUCCUAGUUUACAUUUUGUUUUUGUUAAAUAUUUGCUGGUUAUGUUUCUCUCUACUUUGAGCUGUUGUCAUAACCAAAUUUACCCCAGUGGAGGCUUA
Molecule: long non-coding RNA, 4482 nt
Organism: Cheilinus undulatus (humphead wrasse)
Lineage: Eukaryota; Metazoa; Chordata; Actinopteri; Labriformes; Labridae
Exons: 3
Source: RefSeq, a predicted model, not a curated record